Molecule: regulatory RNA element, 114 nt
Organism: Oikopleura dioica
Lineage: Eukaryota; Metazoa; Chordata; Appendicularia; Copelata; Oikopleuridae
Rfam family: Potassium channel RNA editing signal
About the family: This family represents a group of sequences related to the human potassium channel Kv1.1 hairpin element which directs the efficient modification of an adenosine to inosine by an adenosine deaminase acting on RNA (ADAR). The ADAR modification causes an isoleucine/valine recoding event which lies in the ion-conducting pore of the potassium channel. It is thought that this editing event targets the process of fast inactivation and allows a more rapid recovery from inactivation at negative potentials.
Source: Rfam
GUCGGAUACGGCGAUAUGUAUCCUCAAACUGUGAUCGGAAAGCUUGUUGGAGCCUGCUGCUGCAUAACCGGCGUCCUAGUUAUUGCCUUACCAAUUCCAAUCAUUGUUAAUAAC